GACGAACGCUGGCGGCGUGCUUAACACAUGCAAGUCGAACGGUAAGGCCCUUCGGGGUACACGAGAGGCGAACGGGUGAGUAACACGUGGGUGAUCUGCCCUGCACUUCGGGAUAAGCCUGGGAAACUGGGUCUAAUACCGGAUAGGACCACUGCCUGCAUGGGUGGUGGUGGAAAGCUUUUGCGGUGUGGGAUGGGCCCGCGGCCCAUCAGCUUGUUGGUGGGGUGAUGGCCUACCAAGGCGACGACGGGUAGCCGGCCUGGGAGGGUGACCGGCCACACUGGGACUGAGAUACGGCCCAGACUCCUACGGGAGGCAGCAGUGGGGAAUAUUGCACAAUGGGCGCAAGCCUGAUGCAGCGACGCCGCGUGAGGGAUGACGGCCUUCGGGUUGUAAACCUCUUUCAGCACCGACGAAGCGCAAGUGACGGUAGGUGCAGAAGAAGGACCGGCCAACUACGUGCCAGCCGCCGCCGUAA
This 478-nucleotide ribosomal RNA is filed under the name uncultured bacterium. RNAcentral's name for it is "partial 16S ribosomal RNA". It matches the Rfam family "Bacterial small subunit ribosomal RNA", at positions 28 to 523 of the family's 1533-position model. The record is from RNAcentral.